This 72-nucleotide transfer RNA is filed under the name Gambelia wislizenii (Longnose leopard lizard). RNAcentral describes it as "tRNA-Ser specifying UCN codons". It matches the Rfam family "tRNA". From Rfam's summary of the family: Transfer RNA (tRNA) molecules are approximately 80 nucleotides in length. Their secondary structure includes four short double-helical elements and three loops (D, anti-codon, and T loops). Lineage: Eukaryota; Metazoa; Chordata; Lepidosauria; Squamata; Crotaphytidae. The record is from RNAcentral.
GGGAAAGAAGCAUAAAUGGUGAUGUGGUUGGCUUGAAACCAAUGCAUGGGGGUUCAAUUCCUUCCUUUCUCG